RNAcentral lists this long non-coding RNA (507 nucleotides) under Trifolium pratense (red clover). RNAcentral's name for it is "long non-coding RNA (TPRA_LNC011377)". Lineage: Eukaryota; Viridiplantae; Streptophyta; Magnoliopsida; Fabales; Fabaceae. The record is from RNAcentral.
UUCAUAACAAAUGUAAAAUGUGUAUUUCUUUCCUCCCGCAAAAGAUUCCUAACUGUUGGGCUGUUGGCUCACCUUCUUGAGAAUGCUUUUAAAAUUUAGUGAUAUUUUGUCCCUUGGGAACUUGCAAGUUUGAAACUUUUAUUAGGAUUAGUUUUACAGAUUCGGUAUAUCUCGUGUUUAUUUCCUUGUUUAGUCGGUAUUAAAAGUAUAGUUCAAGUAGUUUAACAAAAAGUAUAGCUCAAGUGGAAAUAGGUACUCGCGUUUGUCUUUAGUAACAGAAUUUCAUACUUAGUAAAUAGGGGAUUAUCCUCGUUCUUCAUCAUGUUGUGAGAAGCAUUGGAGUACAUACUGUAUUCAUUCUAAAGAAAUAAAAAAUUAGUGACAUGGUAGUGUGAGAUGUUAGUGGAAAUGUACGUGAUCCAUUUGAGGAUGGUGGUGAUCGACGUUUGGAAUGGGCAGGGUUGUUUCUUGGUAUAUGAAGUAAGCACCUGAAUAAAGUGUAACGCU